GACGAACGCUGGCGGCGUGCUUAACACAUGCAAGUCGAACGGAAAGGCCAUGCUCUUGCGGGGUGCUCGAGUGGCGAACGGGUGAGUAAAACGUGUGUAACAUGCACUUGACUUUGGGAUAAAUUCAGGAAAAUGGGGCUAUUAUCGGAUAGGAGCUCCUGAUGCACGGUGGGGGUUGGUAAGUGUCGGCGGUUGUGGAUGGACUCGCGGCUUAUCCGCUUGUUGGUGGGGUAGUGGCUUACCAAGGGUUCGACGGGUAGCCGGCCUGAGAGGGUGGCCGGCCACAUUGGUACUGAGAGACGGACCAGUCGCCUACGGGAGGCAGCAGUGGGGAAUAUUGCACAGUGGGCGGGAGCCUGAUGCAGCAACGCCGCGUGCGUGAUGACGGCCUACGGGGGGUAAACCGCUGUCGCCGUAGACGAAGCGUGAGUGACGGUAAUUAGUAAGGAAGCACCGGCUAACUACGUG
This 468-nucleotide ribosomal RNA is filed under the name uncultured bacterium. RNAcentral's name for it is "partial 16S ribosomal RNA". It matches the Rfam family "Bacterial small subunit ribosomal RNA", at positions 28 to 507 of the family's 1533-position model. The record is from RNAcentral.